Molecule: ribosomal RNA, 432 nt
Filed under: uncultured bacterium
Lineage: Bacteria
Description: partial 16S ribosomal RNA
Rfam family: Bacterial small subunit ribosomal RNA
Source: RNAcentral
AACGAACGCUGGCGGCAUGCCUAACACAUGCAAGUCGAACGAGACCUUCGGGUCUAGUGGCGCACGGGUGCGUAACGCGUGGGAACCUGCCCUUAGGUUCGGAAUAACUCCCCGAAAGGGGUGCUAAUACCGGAUAAUGUCUUCGGACCAAAGAUUUAUCGCCUUUGGAUGGGCCCGCGUUGGAUUAGCUAGUUGGUAGGGUAAAAGCCUACCAAGGGAACGAUCCAUAGCUGGUCUGAGAGGAUGAUCAGCCACACUGGGACUGAGGCACGGCCCAGACUCCUUGGGGGGGCGCCAGGGGGGAAUAUUGGACACUGGGCGAAAGCCUGAUCCAGAAAUGCCCGGGGGGUGAUGAAGGCCUUAGGGUUGUAAAGCUUUUUUACCCGGGAUGAAAAUGAAAUUCCCGGGAGAAUAAGCCCCGCUUAACUCCGU